GCCUGGGUGGCUCAGUCAGUUAAGCGUCUGACUUCAGCUCAGGUCAUGAUCUCGCGGUUUGUGAGUUCGAGCCUCGCAUCGGGCU
RNAcentral lists this transfer RNA (85 nucleotides) under Felis catus (domestic cat). It matches the Rfam family "tRNA". Rfam says of the family: Transfer RNA (tRNA) molecules are approximately 80 nucleotides in length. Their secondary structure includes four short double-helical elements and three loops (D, anti-codon, and T loops). Further hydrogen bonds mediate the characteristic L-shaped molecular structure. tRNAs have two regions of fundamental functional importance: the anti-codon, which is responsible for specific mRNA codon recognition, and the 3' end, to which the tRNAs corresponding amino acid is attached (by aminoacyl-tRNA synthetases). tRNAs cope with the degeneracy of the genetic code in two manners: having more than one tRNA (with a specific anti-codon) for a particular amino acid; and 'wobble' base-pairing, i.e. permitting non-standard base-pairing at the 3rd anti-codon position. The record is from Rfam by way of RNAcentral. Lineage: Eukaryota; Metazoa; Chordata; Mammalia; Carnivora; Felidae.